AUAAAGAAGCUUCUGUCCCAAUUUUCCGAAAUUCCAUUAUGUUUGACAACGAUUUUGAUGUAAAACAAAACUUUAACCAAAGACUGAACCUAAAUGCUGAUGACGGAAUCUAGGAUCGCCAAGUAUCGCUUUCACGAAACUUGAAAAAAAGAUGGAUGUAUGUCAAAAGAUCCAAGUAGGCAGUUAUUUCACUCAUAAAUCUCAAAGACCUCCUUGCUUUCGACAAGAC
RNAcentral lists this long non-coding RNA (229 nucleotides) under Mytilus galloprovincialis (Mediterranean mussel). The record is from RNAcentral. Lineage: Eukaryota; Metazoa; Mollusca; Bivalvia; Mytilida; Mytilidae.